RNAcentral lists this ribosomal RNA (255 nucleotides) under Vibrio parahaemolyticus. Its description in RNAcentral is "partial 23S ribosomal RNA". It matches the Rfam family "Bacterial large subunit ribosomal RNA", at positions 2038 to 2292 of the family's 2925-position model. Lineage: Bacteria; Pseudomonadati; Pseudomonadota; Gammaproteobacteria; Vibrionales; Vibrionaceae. The record is from RNAcentral.
GAAAUUGAAAUCGCUGUGAAGAUGCAGUGUACCCGCGGCUAGACGGAAAGACCCCGUGAACCUUUACUACAGCUUGGCACUGAACAUUGACCCUACAUGUGUAGGAUAGGUGGGAGGCUUUGAAGCACGUACGCCAGUAUGUGUGGAGCCGUCCUUGAAAUACCACCCUUGUAGUGUUGAUGUUCUAACGUCGACCCCUAAUCGGGGUUGCGGACAGUGCCUGGUGGGUAGUUUGACUGGGGCGGUCUCCUCCCA